AGCGAACGCUGGCGGCAGGCUUAACACAUGCAAGUCGAGCGGGCAUCCUUGUGGUGUCAGCGGCAGACGGGUAAGUAACGCGUGGGAACGUGCCCUUCGGUUCGGAAUAACUCAGGGAAACUUGAGCUAAUACCGGAUACGUGCGAGAGCAGAAAGGUUUAUCUGCCGAAGGAUCGGCCCGCGUCUGAUUAGCUAGUUGGUGAGGUUAUGGCUCACCAAGGCGACGAUCAGUAGCUGGUCUGAGAGCAUGAUCAGUCACACUGGGACUGAGACACGGCCCAGACUCCUACGGGAGGCAGCAGUGGGGAAUAUUGGACAAUGGGGGCAACCCUGAUCCAGCCAUGCCGCGUGAGUGAUGACGGCCUUAGGGUUGUAAAGCUCUUUUCUCCGGGACGAUAAUGACGGUACCGGAGGAAUAAGCCCCGGCUAACUUCGUG
Molecule: ribosomal RNA, 437 nt
Filed under: uncultured bacterium
Lineage: Bacteria
Description: partial 16S ribosomal RNA
Rfam family: Bacterial small subunit ribosomal RNA
Source: RNAcentral